Molecule: long non-coding RNA, 594 nt
Filed under: Homo sapiens (human)
Lineage: Eukaryota; Metazoa; Chordata; Mammalia; Primates; Hominidae
Description: HSALNT0059074
Source: RNAcentral
AGAUGCUCCUGAGAGUGACAGAGAGCAUGGAAGGACAUGGUUUUGGAGUAUAAAAAGAUGGUCUAAACCGCAUUCAAGCUUCAUUCUGUAGAAGGAAACAAAUGAGGAGAAAUUAGGCAGCACUAUCAGCAUCUCCAAGGAGGAUGCAGCAACAAGGCACCAUCUUAGGAGCAGAGACCAGACCCUCACCAGACACCGAACCUGCCAACACCUUGAUCUUGGACUUCACAGACUCCAGAACUGUGAGAAGUAAUUUUCUAUUAUGUAUAAAUUAUACAGUUUGUGAUACUUUCUUACAGCAGCAUGAAUGAACUGAGACACACAAUAACAGUGCAUCUACUUUAGGGUCUUAGCAAUUGCUGGUCUCUGCCUGAGAUGCUCUCCAUCAGAUAUCCACCUGGCUUGCUCCCGCACUUCCUUCAGAGCUCCAAUUACAAAUCACUCAUUCAAGGGCCUUCCAUACUCACCAAUCACUCUCUAUCCCUCGCCCUCCUUUGUUAUUUUUUUCUCUGUACUUAUCUCAUGGAACAUGCAAUCUAAUAAAGGAAGACAUUUAAUAAAAUGAAUAAGUGGAAGUCGGUGUGGAGAUUCCUC